This 556-nucleotide long non-coding RNA is filed under the name Marmota monax (woodchuck). The record is from RNAcentral. Lineage: Eukaryota; Metazoa; Chordata; Mammalia; Rodentia; Sciuridae.
GGAUUAGGGAUGCAGAACCAGUGUAGUCUGUUCAAAUAUCCAAAAUCUGAAGCCAUUAUGGUCUUACCUAUUUGAAAAAGGGACGCACACCCUUUAGUAACUGUUUUAGUCAGCCAUUUUCGCUGCUGUGACUAAAGCAUCUGACCAGAACAAUUUUAGGGAAGAAAAGUUUAUUUGAGUGCUCACGGUUUCAGAGGUCUUACUCCCUGGAAGGUCUGCUCUGUUCCUCAGGGCUUGAGGGCGGCUGAACUCAUGGCGGAAGAGGGUGGCCGAGGGAAGCAGCUCACAUCAUGGUGAUCCGGAAGCAGAGAGACUCCACUUUCCAGAUACAAUAUGUACCCCAAAGCCCCGAUUCCCACCUCCUCCAGCCACACCCUGUCACUUCAGUUACCACUCAGUUAAUCCCUAUCAGGGGAUUAAAUCACUGAUUGUGUUAAGACUCUCACAACACAAGGGAUCAUUUCUCCUCUAACCUUCUUGCACUGCCUCACCUGUGCGCUUUUGGGGGACAGCUCACAUCCAAACCAUAACAAGUAACCUUAUGAUGUCAGGAAAG